AGGACGAACGCUGGCGGCGUGCUUAACACAUGCAAGUCGAACGGAAAGGCCCUUUCGGGGGUGCUCGAGUGGCGAACGGGUGAGUAACACGUGGGUGAUCUGCCCUGCACUUUGGGAUAAGCCUGGGAAACUGGGUCUAAUACCGAAUACACCUUGCUGGCUGCAUGGCUGGUGGGGGAAAGCUUUUGCGGUGUGGGAUGGGCCCGCGGCCUAUCAGCUUGUUGGUGGGGUGAUGGCCUACCAAGGCGACGACGGGUAGCCGGCCUGAGAGGGUGUCCGGCCACACUGGGACUGAGAUACGGCCCAGACUCCUACGGGAGGCAGCAGUGGGGAAUAUUGCACAAUGGGCGCAAGCCUGAUGCAGCGACGCCGCGUGAGGGAUGACGGCCUCGGUUGUAACCUCUUUCAGUAUCGACGAAGCGCAAGUGACGGUAGGUACAGAAGAAGCACCGGCCAACUACGCGCCAGCAGCCGCGGU
This 478-nucleotide ribosomal RNA is filed under the name uncultured bacterium. RNAcentral describes it as "SSU rRNA". It matches the Rfam family "Bacterial small subunit ribosomal RNA", at positions 26 to 521 of the family's 1533-position model. The record is from RNAcentral.